AGCGAACGCUGGCGGCAUGCCUAACACAUGCAAGUCGCACGGGGGGGCUUCGGCCUCCCAGUGGCGGACGGGUGAGGAACGCGUAGGGACCUGUCGAGGGGUGGGGGAUAACCGCGGGAAACUGUGGCUAAUACCGCAUGACGCCGCGGCGUGACAGCCGGGGCCAAAGGCGAAAGCCGCCCGCCGAGGGGCCUGCGUCCGAUUAGCUGGUUGGCGGGGUAGCGGCCCACCAAGGCGUCGAUCGGUAGCUGGUCUGAGAGGGUGAUCAGCCACACCGGGACUGAGACACGGCCCGGACUCCUACGGGAGGCAGCAGUGGGGAAUAUUGGACAAUGGGCGCAAGCCUGAUCCAGCAAUGCCGCGUGGGUGAAGAAGGUCUUCGGAUUGUAAAGCCCUUUCGGCGGGGACGAUGGUGACGGUACCCGCAGAAGAAGCCCCGGCUAACUUCGUG
RNAcentral lists this ribosomal RNA (451 nucleotides) under uncultured bacterium. RNAcentral's name for it is "partial 16S ribosomal RNA". It matches the Rfam family "Bacterial small subunit ribosomal RNA", at positions 28 to 507 of the family's 1533-position model. The record is from RNAcentral.